CCUACGGGAGGCUGCAGUGAGGAAGAUUGGUCAAUGGGCGGAAGCCUGAACCAGCCAAGUAGCGUGCGGGAUGAAGGCCCUACGGGUCGUAAACCGCUUUUGCACGGGGAGAACACCCUCCACUUGUGGAGGUCUGCAGGUACCGUGCGAAUAAGGGCCGGCUAAUUCCGUGCCAGCAGCCGCGGUAAUACGGAAGGACCGAGCGGUAUCCGGAUUGCUUGGGCUGAAAGGGAGCGUAGGCGGGCGUUCAAGUCAGCUGUAAAAUCGCGCGGCUCAAACGCGCCCCGCAGUUGAAACUGGACGCCUUGAGUUCACAACAGGCAGGCGGCAUUCGUGGUGUAGCGGUGAAAUGCAUAGAU
RNAcentral lists this ribosomal RNA (359 nucleotides) under uncultured bacterium. RNAcentral describes it as "partial 16S ribosomal RNA". It matches the Rfam family "Bacterial small subunit ribosomal RNA", at positions 338 to 695 of the family's 1533-position model. The record is from RNAcentral.